RNAcentral lists this unclassified non-coding RNA (425 nucleotides) under Seseli grandivittatum. RNAcentral's name for it is "partial external transcribed spacer". Lineage: Eukaryota; Viridiplantae; Streptophyta; Magnoliopsida; Apiales; Apiaceae. The record is from RNAcentral.
ACCAGGUAGCAUUCCUCUUUGCUGCCGGCACCGCUUGAGCAAAAGGACGGAAACAGUCCUAGAGUCUACACGAGGCACGUCAGGCUUCCGUAAGGGACAAUUGAUUCGGGCAAAAAAGGGACAAAGGACCCCGACCGAUCAUGCAUCUACAUACAAGACUUCGAGCGACAUAUAUAUGGACGUCCGAUGCUUGCAAGCUAAAUAAGCAAAGCAAGGGCGAACGCCCAUAGGAGCUUCAGGGUCUACGCCGCACAAAACAUUUUGCACGAGAUAGAGUAGGGGCCAUGGGACUAGAGAAUUCCGUCAAAAUAGGUAUAUGCUGCACAGGGGGCCAAGCUAAUCCAGGGCCAAAUAUUUAGCACUCGGACAGAAUGAACAGGUUAACCAGCGUGUCGCGCCAGGGAACCAACCAGCCGAAACAUACC